RNAcentral lists this ribosomal RNA (511 nucleotides) under Ampelophilus coeruleus. Its description in RNAcentral is "partial 16S ribosomal RNA". It matches the Rfam family "Bacterial large subunit ribosomal RNA", at positions 1819 to 2597 of the family's 2925-position model. RNAcentral also lists the same sequence under 1 other name. The record is from RNAcentral. Lineage: Eukaryota; Metazoa; Arthropoda; Insecta; Orthoptera; Acrididae.
GUCCUCUUGAUUAUAAAUUAUUUGAGGUCUGGCCUGCUCACUGAUAAAUUAAAGAGCCGCGGUAUUUUGACCGUGCAAAGGUAGCAUAAUCAUUAGUCUCUUAAUUAGGGGCUGGAAUGAAUGGUUUGACGAAAAAUCGACUGUCUCUUAUUAAAUUUUAAAAUUUAACUUUUAAGUUAAAAGGCUUAAAUUUAUCUUUAGGACGAGAAGACCCUAUAGAUCUUAACAUUUUACUUUUAGAUAGUUUUUAGUAAAUUUUUCUAUAUAGAAUGUCGAUGUUUUGUUGGGGUGACAUGAAGAAUAAAUAAACUCUUCAUUUUAAAAUCAUUGAUUUAUGUUUAAAUAAAUGAUCCAUAAUUUAUGAUUAUAAGAUUAAGUUACCUUAGGGAUAACAGCGUAAUUGUUUUUGAGAGCUCAUAUCGAUAAAGCAGAUUGCGACCUCGAUGUUGGAUUAAGAAAAAUAUUGGGUGCAGUAAUUCAAUAAUUUGGUCUGUUCGACCAUUAAAUUCUU